RNAcentral lists this long non-coding RNA (1195 nucleotides) under Brassica napus (rape). RNAcentral's name for it is "long non-coding RNA (BNAP_LNC006816)". The record is from RNAcentral. Lineage: Eukaryota; Viridiplantae; Streptophyta; Magnoliopsida; Brassicales; Brassicaceae.
UAUCAACUCAAUAUGCUAGAAAACCUAGAUACAAUGAGCUUAGGUAAUGGGCUUCCGGUCUUUAUUUGGGCCUUGCUAAUACUCCCCCGCAAACUUAGCGUGGAUGGAGCAGCUACGCUGAGUUUGAAGGCACAGAUGGAGAUGGCUUUAGAUGAGCAUAAGUAGAUGAAGUAGGAUGCUUGAGAUGUUGGCAAAUGGUUCUACUCACCAUUGUAGACAAACAUUAGUGUGAGAUCUAUUCAGACCUAUACUUGGAGAGUAUCACAUGGCUUCACUCAGAGGUUUCUCUUGAACUUGGAGAGCUUAGUUGAUCUCACUCAGAGGUAUAAUUGUGGCCUAUUUGUCUCACUAUGAAUCUAGGUUUACUUAAACCAUUUCAUUCUUCUAAUCUGUCUCAUGAAGAACUCUCUUUCCACACCUACCAAAUACAACUAUACUCACUCUCUGCUUCAUUAUCACUAGUCACUAUCAUCUUUUAUCUCUCUGUGACAUUGUACCAAACACUUGGUGCGCAUCAAAAACAGAGACUUUCUUCCAUAAACCCUUUUUUUUUUUUUUUUUUUUUUUUACAGAAAAUCAAACCUAGCGUAAGCAUUCUAUUCCAGAUUCCAAGCCUAUAAUCUAAACCAGCCAGCAUAAAUCACCAAACGACCACACAUGCAUCACUUCUCCUUAAUCUACCAAACGACCAUUCACUUGUUCUGUCUCAGGAAGAAGGACAGAUACAUACCAUUGAUAAACAUAUUUGUGUGAUGACUUCCUCCUUCAGUUCACGUGUGAUUUCGUCGUUGAUUACGGUUUCAUCACGGUUCGUACAGAGGAACGCUUUCGUAGCCGCUGAGUUUUGUCCAUGGAGUCCGACAUAAGCGGGUUGGGUUUGAAGACAUGACUGUUUCUUUCUCACGUUGUAUCUCUGGCCCAUCUGGCCCAAUACCCUUUCUUCUUCAUACAGACAUCUCGUAGGAAGCAAACGAAAGUCUUGGAAGACUUAAUGGCUCCAUAGAGGUCUUGUAGAUAGUCUGAAGCUCAAGUAGAAGAUAUAACACCAAGAUCUACUCCCUGAUGCUCUGAUACCAUGAGAACAAAUGUACAAAAUGCUCAAAGAGCUUUAUUUAAACAGAAAUGGAGAUAGCUUAUUAAAGCUUUAUUGAACAAGAAAGUAAAGAGAAGAAGGAAGCUGAGAUUGUCUGCAAGA